GUUUAUUCCCCAUGUUAUGUACAUUUGCAAAGAGGCAUUUAAGCUGCCCUCCCAGUGAAGCUAACGUGCUGGUUGAAGUGGCUGCAGUUCCUUUGUGCUGCUCUUCAGGUGCUCUCCUGCUGACCUGUGACCCCCUUUCCAGGCUCUGGCUACUGGUAUUUCAUCUUUAGUGACCUGACCAAGUAAUAACAUGAUCUCUCUUCUGAGACUGAAAUCACUGACAACUGAGGUUACUUGGUAACAGGUUCCUGCUUUGAUUCUGAUUCUGUAGCUUUUUAUAAUCUGGAUCACCACAUCAGUUCUGGAUAAGGGAAAAGAAAGCCUCUGCAAUCACUUGCACCAGUCUCACACUCUAUUGACCUUCAUCCAGAAGAACCUGGCAACCCUGGUUCUCCUCUCUGGAGGUUUGUAUUUCAGCUGUGAAGUUGGUGCUUCAUAGCUCAUGUCCUGCUGAAGACACCACCAGCAUAUUAGAUAAUUGUUGCCAUAUGAUCCUAAUUGUUGAGUGUGGAGGUUACCCCUUUCACCUGCUCCUGAUAAUAGCUCUGGACAAGAAACUUCAAUGAUUGUUUUGGUCAAGAAAGUGGUCUUUGGGAUCCCUGAUAAUUCAUUAAUCUCUGCAGAACUAAGUGCAUUUUAAGUACUCUAAAAUACAAAGAAGAAAAAAAGGAACCAAAACCAAAACCAGACAGUGGCAUCCUUAUGUAUUCUGUGGCUUUGGAAAUCAGGGCACUUAUUUAACUGCUAACCGUAAGCACCCACAUUUGAAGACACAGGUCAUAACUUGAUAAGAAAAGUGACACAAAUCUCUUUUGCUAGAGUUAUGUGCUAGGCAAGCAGUACACCUCCAAAUUAAGCCAUCUGCUUAAAUAAUCCCUCCAUGGACUGUCUCUCUACACAUGCUUGUGUGAUCCCACUGAGGGCAAUGAGCUUUCAUAGGUGUCACAAAUCAGUGUUUGUCCCUGUGAGCCACCCAAAUUUAAAAGCUCUCUGUCCUGGCCUGCAUUCUGGUUCACAACAAUAGUAGAGUUUCCUGAUGUUCUGGGACUUGUUAGAUGUUGUUGUCAUUUUCUCCUCAUUUUGUUACUUUCUGAGGAAAUGCAUUACAAAUAAAGCUACAAAUAAUAUUCAGGUUGUGGCACCUUGGAGAGAGCUUUCACAAAGCAUCACGGAGGAAAUAAACACACGCAAAACCUGUGAAGAAAAUACAGUAGGUUGUACAUACACUUCUCCCACUCAUUGUUUGCAAAUUGCGCCAUUUGUGUCAGUGCUUGUAGGCAGCCCUAGAAAACAAGGCACUGCUUCGCUGUGAAACCUAGCCUUGGGACCGAAGCUACCGAAGAGCUUGUGACUCUACUUCCUCUCCUUGGCUUUACUUAUAAACCCCUCCUUGUUGGAGAGUGCAAUUCUACCACCAUCCACUUAACCUAGGCCUUCACAACAGUUUUAUGCAAACUUU
Neopsephotus bourkii (Bourke's parrot) is the source of this 1459-nucleotide long non-coding RNA. RefSeq lists it as uncharacterized. The transcript is spliced from 3 exons. The record is from RefSeq and is a predicted model, not a curated record. Lineage: Eukaryota; Metazoa; Chordata; Aves; Psittaciformes; Psittacidae.